RNAcentral lists this ribosomal RNA (394 nucleotides) under uncultured Sphingobacteriales bacterium. RNAcentral's name for it is "bacterial SSU rRNA". It matches the Rfam family "Bacterial small subunit ribosomal RNA", at positions 987 to 1382 of the family's 1533-position model. The record is from RNAcentral. Lineage: Bacteria; Pseudomonadati; Bacteroidota; Sphingobacteriia; Sphingobacteriales.
GUAUGUUGACGUAUUCUGAAAGGAGUACUUCUUCGGACAAUAUACAAGGUGCUGCAUGGUUGUCGUCAGCUCGUGCCGUGAGGUGUCGGGUUAAGUCCCAUAACGAGCGCAACCCCUACUCAUUAGUUGCCAUCAGGUCAAGCUGGGGACUCUAAUGAAACUGCCUACGCAAGUAGUGAGGAAGGUGGGGAUGACGUCAAAUCAGCACGGCCCUUACGUCCAGGGCUACACACGUGCUACAAUGGCCGAUACAGAGGGCAGCUACCUGGUGACAGGAUGCAAAUCUCCAAAGUCGGUCUCAGUUCGGAUCGGAGUCUGCAACCCGACUCCGUGAAGUUGGAUUCGCUAGUAAUCGCGCAUCAGCCAUGGCGCGGUGAAUACGUUCCCGGGCCUU